CUACGGGCCGCUGCAGUGAGGAAUAUUGCACAAUGGGGGGAACCCUGAUGCAGCAACGCCGCGUGGAGGAUGACGCAUUUCGGUGUGUAAACUCCUUUUAUAUGUCAAGAAAAUGACGGUAGCAUAUGAAUAAGCACCGGCUAACUCCGUGCCAGCAGCCGCGGUAAUACGGAGGGUGCAAGCGUUACUCGGAAUCACUGGGCGUAAAGGACGCGUAGGCGGGUUGGAAAGUCAGGUGUGAAAUCCUACAGCUUAACUGUAGAACUGCACUUGAAACUUCUAAUCUAGAGUAUAGGAGGGGGAGAUGGAAUUAGUGGUGUAGGGGUAAAAUCCGUAGAUAUCACUAGGAAUACCUAAAGCGAAGGCGAUCUCCUGGAACAUUACUGACGCUAAGGCGUGAAAGCAUGGGGAGCAAACAGGAUUAGAUACCCUCGUAGUC
This 439-nucleotide ribosomal RNA is filed under the name uncultured bacterium. Its description in RNAcentral is "partial 16S ribosomal RNA". It matches the Rfam family "Bacterial small subunit ribosomal RNA", at positions 339 to 795 of the family's 1533-position model. The record is from RNAcentral.